CUCCCUCUCCCUCUUUUCAGCUCUUCCAGGAGUCAAAAUUCUGCCACGUCGAUUCUGAAAAAUCCACAUUUGAAAAUUUUGCCGCUGAUCUGAGAGGGAUUUAUGAGUCGACGGGGGUGAAAGGGCCAGGAAACCCAACGCUUCUUGCCACCCACAUUCUUUUGCCUUCUCGUACCACCAUCAAACACUCAGAGGUUUUAAAGGACCCUCCUCUCUUCCUCCUCCCCCACUCACCUACCACUCUUUUGGCAUCUCACACACUCGGACGUCCAGCCGAACAGAGCCAGAGAAAAAGAGAGACAGAGACGGAGAAAUGGAUGGAUGAUGGUUUUCGGAGGACAAUCAGAAUGUCUAAUGCCAAAUCUGAUUGGCACAGAUGCAUGGACUUUGAGUGCUGUUGGACUCAUCUCAUCUCCCCGUGAAGCGUCAUGCCCGCCCCGCUUUCCCAGUGUUCAGACUACCUGUUCAGGGCGUAGAGAUUGUACAGUAGUCUGCACAUUGGUUAGGCUGUGUGGGGGGUGCACACACAUCAACUAGUUCUGUUCAUCAACAGUCUCGUCAUCAUGUCUCUGUACGUCCAUGGAAAUGUGCAUGCCUUCAUGUGCGAAGUAAUGUCUGUGUAUUUAAGUGUCUUUGGGGAAGUGGAUUACACAGCGAAGUUAGCAAAAUCUGACAAAGCAUUCCCUCAGCAGAACCUCCUCAGCAGAAACAUCAAUUAAGUUAUGCAAAUAAUUAAGUUAAGUAAACAAUGCUUACUUGCUUAGUAAUGUUUUAAAAAAUUCUCUC
Long non-coding RNA from Sinocyclocheilus rhinocerous, 786 nucleotides. RefSeq lists it as uncharacterized. The transcript is spliced from 3 exons. The record is from RefSeq and is a predicted model, not a curated record. NCBI's taxonomy places the organism in Eukaryota, Metazoa, Chordata, Actinopteri, Cypriniformes, Cyprinidae.